This 1193-nucleotide ribosomal RNA is filed under the name human gut metagenome. Its description in RNAcentral is "bacterial SSU rRNA". It matches the Rfam family "Bacterial small subunit ribosomal RNA", at positions 317 to 1520 of the family's 1533-position model. The record is from RNAcentral.
AACUGAGACACGGUCCAGACACCUACGGGUGGCAGCAGUCGAGAAUCAUUCACAAUGGGGGCAACCCUGAUGGUGCGACGCCGCGUGGGGGAAUGAAGGUCUUCGGAUUGUAAACCCCUGUCAUGUGGGAGCAAAUUAAAAAGAUAGUACCACAAGAGGAAGAGACGGCUAACUCUGUGCCAGCAGCCGCGGUAAUACAGAGGUCUCAAGCGUUGUUCGGAAUCACUGGGCGUAAAGCGUGCGUAGGCUGUUUCGUAAGUCGUGUGUGAAAGGCAGGGGCUCAACCCCUGGAUUGCACAUGAUACUGCGAGACUAGAGUAAUGGAGGGGGAACCGGAAUUCUCGGUGUAGCAGUGAAAUGCGUAGAUAUCGAGAGGAACACUCGUGGCGAAGGCGGGUUCCUGGACAUUAACUGACGCUGAGGCACGAAGGCCAGGGGAGCGAAAGGGAUUAGAUACCCCUGUAGUCCUGGCAGUAAACGGUGCACGCUUGGUGUGCGGGGAAUCGACCCCCUGCGUGCCGGAGCUAACGCGUUAAGCGUGCCGCCUGGGGAGUACGGUCGCAAGAUUAAAACUCAAAGAAAUUGACGGGGACCCGCACAAGCGGUGGAGUAUGUGGCUUAAUUCGAUGCAACGCGAAGAACCUUACCUGGGCUUGACAUGUAAUGAACAACAUGUGAAAGCAUGCGACUCUUCGGAGGCGUUACACAGGUGCUGCAUGGCCGUCGUCAGCUCGUGUCGUGAGAUGUUUGGUUAAGUCCAGCAACGAGCGCAACCCCUGUUGCCAGUUACCAUCGAGUAAUGUCGGGGACUCUGGCGAGACUGCCCAGAUCAACUGGGAGGAAGGUGGGGACGACGUCAGGUCAGUAUGGCCCUUAUGCCCAGGGCUGCACACGUACUACAAUGCCCAGUACAGAGGGGGCCGAAGCCGCGAGGCGGAGGAAAUCCUGAAAACUGGGCCCAGUUCGGACUGUAGGCUGCAACCCGCCUACACGAAGUCGGAAUCGCUAGUAAUGGCGCAUCAGCUACGGCGCCGUGAAUACGUUCCCGGGUCUUGUACACACCGCCCGUCACAUCAUGGAAGCCGGUCGCACCCGAAGUAUCUGAAGCCAACCGCAAGGAGGCAGGGUCCUAAGGUGAGACUGGUAACUGGGAUGAAGUCGUAACAAGGUAGCCGUAGGGGAACCUGCGGCUG